GACGAACGCUGGCGGCGUGCCUAACACAUGCAAGUGGAGCGACGAACCAGGCUUCGGCCUGGGGCAAAGCCGCGAACGGGUGAGUAACACGUGGGUAACCUGCCCUGAUGAUUGGGACAACCCGAGGAAACUCGGGCUAAUACCGAAUGUGCCCUCCGGCCUCAAGGCCGCUGGGGAAAGGAAGCUUCGGCCUCCGCAUCGGGAUGGGCCCGCGGCCCAUUAGCUUGUUGGUGAGGUAACGGCUCACCAAGGCGACGAUGGGUAGCUGGUCUGAGAGGACGAUCAGCCACACUGGGACUGAGACACGGCCCAGACUCCUACGGGAGGCAGCAGUGGGGAAUCUUGCGCAAUGCGCGAAAGCGUGACGCAGCAACGCCGCGUGGGGGAAGAAGGCCUGGU
This 399-nucleotide ribosomal RNA is filed under the name uncultured bacterium. Its description in RNAcentral is "bacterial SSU rRNA". It matches the Rfam family "Bacterial small subunit ribosomal RNA", at positions 28 to 420 of the family's 1533-position model. The record is from RNAcentral.